Molecule: long non-coding RNA, 3372 nt
Filed under: Sus scrofa (pig)
Lineage: Eukaryota; Metazoa; Chordata; Mammalia; Artiodactyla; Suidae
Description: lncRNA (ENSSSCG00030003464.1)
Source: RNAcentral
GGACUGCAGGUGCAGCAUAUGGAAGUUCCCAGGCGAGGGGUGGAAUGGUAGCUACAGCUGCUGGCCUACACCACAGCCACAGCAGUGCCAGAUAACACAAGAAGUUUAAGGACAGACCAAACAGCAUGGGUGAGUUGGAAACGUGACUUCCUUUUAAUUCAUGAAGCAGAGGGAACUUCCCUCCCACACCAAGCAUGGCUUAAAGACUGUCUCAACCAGAAACAUGGAUGGCGGAUUCGGACGCCAAGUGCUACGACAGCCCUGCCCCCCUCCUGAAAGGUCACACUGCUAUCAUUCCCAUUCUACAGUCAGGCAAACUAAAGCCACAUGGUCUGUGUGAGAUGGUGCUGGAUUCAAAUUCAGAACCUGGGCACUUAACUGCCCCUUGGUGUAGAAAAAGGGAAUUUAAAAGAUACAAUGGGAAGAGGAAGAAAAAUAUAAAUUUUCAGGGAAACCUUUGUACCUUAAAUUUAAUAAGGUGUUGGGGAAGUCAAUAUUUAUGUAAAUCAGUGUGUGUGUAAAUCAGCCUAUUAACUGGGGACUGUGCCAUGACCAAAGAUACCACCUUAUUCCAAUGCUUAUUCCAAUGGCCUCAAAGCACUUUAUAUUUUCAUUUUAUUUUAUAUAUCUAUUUUAACUCACAGGUAUCAUCUCUUUGGGCAAAAGUAUAAAAAAAGAUCACUUAAAUCCUUUUUUUGUCUGCCCAUUUAUUUCAGUAAAUCAAACAGACUUCUCCCACUAACUUAUAAUGUCAAGGAAGUUUUACAUUUGUAUAAAAUUGAUUUCAGGCUUCAUCUGCCUUCAAAUACAUUGUUUUUCCAUUUUACCACUAUCAUGCUCUGACUUAGGUAAUAUGAAUACCUCCCACUUGAAAAAAAAUAUAGACUAGGUGUUCCCACUGUGGCACAGUGGGUUAAGGAUCCAGCGUUGCGGCAGCUACAGCGUAGGUCAAAGCUGUGGCUCAGAUUUGAUCCCUGGCCUAGGAACUUCCAUAUGCCAUGGGUGUGGCCAAAAAAAAAAAUAGAUUCGUUUUCCACUUUAGAAGUAUUUCCCACUUGACAUACUGCAAUUUGCAUUUGUAAGAGACCCGGCUAAUGCCUAAGGCAGCACUCAGAGUCUCCUUUUCCAAUCCUGAGCUGGGCCCCACUGAGCCCUCUUCUCCCAAGGCCUCAUCCUUGGGCUCUGUCUUCUGUCUGCUGGUCCACUAAGCCAGUUUAGCCAGAAUCCCAACCCUUGAUUUUUCCUCUUGGUCGUUUCCCAUCCUCCAACCCACCCCAUCAUUGACUCUAAUUCCCCCGCUGUCUGGGCCAGAUUCAGAGUUGAGCCCCAUCUCACCCGCACUGUGACAGUCUUAACACCUUCAGUCCUAAAUAAAGUCUUCUGUACCAUUUUAACAAAUGUCAGAAUGACCUUUUACUUUCUUUUCUUUCCUUUCUUGUGUGUGUGUGUGUGUGUGUGUCUUUUUAGGGCUGCACCCAUAGCAUAGUGAAGUUCCCAGGCUAGGGGUUGAAUCAGAGCUGUAGCCACUGGCCUAUGCCACAGACACAGCAACACCAAAUGUGAACACGUCUUCGACCUACACCACAGCUGACAGCAACGCUGAUCUUUAACCCACUGAGCGAGGCCAGGGAUCAAACCUGCAUCCUCAUGGAUGCUAAUCAGGUUCUUAACUUGCUGAGCACAACGGUGAACUCCCAGGCUAUUUUUUUAGCAGGCAAAACAUCUCACCACUGACACUACGUGAAAGCAUGUAAGUGAAGGAGUAUUCAUAUAAUGCCAGAGGUUUGACAUUUAAAACCAAAAUUGAGAAUAAGAGUGCUCUGAGAGCAUUACAAAACAUGCCUCCUUCCUCCACUCUCCCAGGGGGUCUUAUUUACGCCCUCAGAAUCCAGAGAUGAUUCUCAGCCACUGUCCCCAUGGCAGCCCAACAUAGGUCCUAUCACCUCCAACUGGACCGUCACACUGCCCAGCACCCCCUACUGCCCCUCCCUCCUCUCCAGUUCACCACCACUGGUCACUGCCCAGGAACCCCACCACCCAUGCACUCAGAAUGGUGAGUCUGUUCCAAACCUCCUAGCUCUGGGCCUCCCCAAUCCCUUCUAGCUUCCCUAAACACAUCCUAAGUUCCUCUCCACCUUUGCUCCUGACACCAUGACAUCCUGGAAGGUCCCAAUGCCAGCUCACACCCACCCGAGUAUCUAAGACUGACACCUGUUUCUCCGACCUCAGCAUGGGCAGAGGUGGGUUAUAGCUGCCUGAUCUUCCCUAUUGGGUGGGAGCGUCACUAGCUGGGAAAACGUUUUAUUUCUUUGCCACUCACAGUGCCUAGCCCAGUGGAUCAGACACCGUAGGUAUUCAGUAAAUACUCAUGGAACAAUUGAACAUCACCGUUUAUUUUCUGGAAGGACAUUUUAUCCCUGGUUGCCCAGCCUGACAAACCUGUCAUUCGAAGCGAGCACGCGCCCUCUUGUGGCCUUGGGCUUACAGUACAUCCCAGAAAAGAGUUCAAUUACAGGGUUCUGAGAUUUACUCCCUGGGGGUUUUCUUCCUCCUAACCGUAGGCUGGGGCACAAAAAAAACAAUGCCAGUCCUGACCCUAAGAUAUGCCUUAGAGAAUUUAGCUCCUCCUCACAUCAACCAGGUAACAGGAGCUAUGGAUUCAUCAGGGCAUUUGAUCCCUCCCGCUUGAGAUGAGGAGACAUAAAAAAGCCCACCAACUGACUGCAAGGUGGGAAACUUGACUGGAUCGUGACUAAAACAAAUCAGCAUUUAGAGAUAUUUGGGAAAAUCAACAGCAGCCACAAACCUGCGCACAGAUAUCCACUACAGCUUUAUUCGUUAGCGAUGGGAAAAAGAAACAGCUACCAAGGAGUCACACUGUGGGACGCUGUGCGGCAAUGGAAAGGAGGGACUCUUGAGGCGUGCACAACAUGAGGAAGAUGAACGCUAAAAAUCAUGCUCUUUAAAGAAGCCCACACAAAAGUACACGCCACAUGAGUCUUUUUUUUUUUUUUUUUUUUUUUUUGGCUGCACAUGGCAUGCAGAACUUCCUGGGCCAGGGAUCAAACCCAUGCCACAGCAGUGACAAUGUCAGAUCCUUCACCACUAGGCCACCAGGGAACACCUUGUGAUUCUGUUUAAGUGAAGUUCCAGGAGAGGCAACGGCAGGAAAAAUUGGAAUAGGGGCUGCCUGUGGUUGUGGGGCUUGACUGGGGGAAUUUUCUGGGAUGAUGGGAAUAUUCUGUAACUUGAUAAGGGAUUUGGAUUACACAGAUGUAUGUGUUCAUCUUAACUCACCAAAUAUUACAGUUGAAAAAUGGGUGUCUGUCAUUACACAUGUAAAUGUUACUCCAAAAAGGAAAAAAAAAAAAA